This 857-nucleotide long non-coding RNA is filed under the name Pan troglodytes (chimpanzee). Its description in RNAcentral is "lincRNA". Lineage: Eukaryota; Metazoa; Chordata; Mammalia; Primates; Hominidae. The record is from RNAcentral.
ACUUUCUUCAGGGCUAUCAGAUGAAGGCAGCAACGAAAACACCACAAGACCAACUUCAGGCUGGAGCUGAUGAUGCCACACAGAAAAUAGACUCUACUUAGAAAUGAAACUCAACUAAAGGUAAAAGAUGUCAGGAACAUCUCCAAGAAAGCCAGAGUCAGCCUCUAAACUUUGCAUCAAGAACGCAAUGGCUUCCCUGAGGGCCCAGGGACGCUUGGCAGCUGUGAGGCAGCCCCUUCUCUGCUGUCGAGGAACUGGACACUUCUCCUAUCCCUUCCCACAAGGUAUAAUAUUAGGCAGAAACCCAAUAUAAAAAGAAAAGCAGAGUUGUUGUAGAUUCAUCGAGGGCUGGCGACCUGGUUCCAAUGAGCCAUCUCCCCGUUCCGACAGGGGCUUCCUGGAGCUCCUGCAACCCCAGGCAUUAGUUCCAGUGCAGUUCUAGGAUCAGAUCAAUUCACUCGACAACAAGAGAAACAAAUGGAGAUUCCUACACAAAGACUUUCAAGCACAAAGAAAUCCUGCUGCCUGUAAAGUGGAGCUGCCUCAGCUCUUGAUGAACGACAGAAAAUACCACCUACUGCCAGACCUCAACGCCUCACAAAACUCUCACCCACCUACUGCUUUUAGCUCACAUUCCAGGAAUUCAGAUGAAGUGAAGUGCUCUCAUGGGGACCAGGCAUGGUUAUUCCAGUCCACUGCCCUGCAAGCCUCAAGGGAAGCCAACUGCCCUUCAGCAAGUCACACCUGCCUUGGUGGAGGCCUUGAUUGGAAGUGCCACACGCUACAUGUCCAGUCCUGAGCGGGAGAAUCGGUGUAGGGACGUUGUGGGGAUGCCGGCUGUGGCCAGAUCAGGUCCA